Molecule: ribosomal RNA, 1029 nt
Filed under: uncultured bacterium
Lineage: Bacteria
Description: bacterial SSU rRNA
Rfam family: Bacterial small subunit ribosomal RNA
Source: RNAcentral
GUAAACCUCUUUUGACCUGUCAUCGAGACAGGUAGAAUAAGCAUCUACUAACUACGUGCCAGCAGUCGCGGUAAUACGUAGGAUGCAAGCGUUAUCCGGAUUUACUGGGCGUAAAGGGUCGCGUAGGCGGUUUACCGCAUCUCACUUCAAAUAAUUCCGCUUAACGGGGUUUCGGGUGAGUGAUGGGUAGACUAGAGGAUUGGUGGGGUUUCUGGAACUUUCGGUGUAGCAGUGAAAUGCGUUGAUAUCGAAAGGAACACCAAGAGCGAAGGCAGGAAACCAACCAACACCUGACGCUGAGGCACGACAGCCAGGGGAGCGAAGCAGAUUAGAGACCUGCGUAGUCCUGGCCGUAAACGCAUGAGUGCUAGUUGCCCCGAUUAUAUCGGGGUGACGCAAGUUAACACGUUAAGCACUCCGCCUGGGGAGUACGAUCGCAAGAUUAAAACUCAAAGGAAUUGGCGGGGACCCGCACAACCGGUGGAGCAUGUGGUUUAAUUCGAGACGAAGCGAAAGACCUCACCACGGUUUGACAUGCUAUCGUUUAGUCUUCUGGAAACAGAGGAUGAUCCGCAAGGAUGAUAGCAAAGCUGCUGCAUGGCUGUCGUCAGCUCGUACCGUGAGGUGUUCCCUUAAGUGGGGUAACGAGCGCAACCCUCGCCCUGAGUUAUACAUGUCUCAGGGGACGGUCCCGACGUAUGUCGGGAAGGAAGGUGGGGACGACGUCAAGUCAGCACGGCGCCUAUGCCGUGGGCCACACACAUCCUACAAUGGCGAAUAACAACGAGGAGCAAGAGCGCGAGCUUAAGCAAAUCUCUAAAAUUUCGCCUCAGUUGGAAUUGCAGUCUGCAACUCGACUGCAUGAACUUGGAAUCGGUAGUAAUCGCGGAUCAGCAGGCCGCGGUGAAUACGUUCUCGGGUCUUGCACACACCGCCCGUCAAGCCAACAAAGUUGAGGGCGGCCGACGUCCCGCGUAAGUGGGAUUAAGCCGAACUCAGCGAUGGGGACUAAGUCGUAACAAGGUAACC